RNAcentral lists this ribosomal RNA (253 nucleotides) under uncultured bacterium. Its description in RNAcentral is "partial 16S ribosomal RNA". It matches the Rfam family "Bacterial small subunit ribosomal RNA", at positions 524 to 776 of the family's 1533-position model. The record is from RNAcentral.
UACAGAGGGGGCAAGCGUUGUUCGGAAUUACUGGGCGUAAAGGGCGCGUAGGCGGCCAACUAAGUCCGACGUGAAAUCCCCAGGCUUAACCUGGGAACUGCGUCGGAUACUGGAUGGCUUGAAUUCGGGAGAGGGAUGCAGAAUUCCAGGUGUAGCGGUGAAAUGCGUAGAUAUCUGGAGGAAUACCGGUGGCGAAGGCGGCAUCCUGGACCGACAUUGACGCUGAUGAGCGAAAGCUAGGGGAGCAAACGGG